This 422-nucleotide ribosomal RNA is filed under the name uncultured archaeon. RNAcentral describes it as "partial 16S ribosomal RNA". It matches the Rfam family "Archaeal small subunit ribosomal RNA", at positions 323 to 746 of the family's 1478-position model. The record is from RNAcentral.
CUACGGGAGGCUGCAGUCAGGAAUCUUUUGCAAUGCACGCAAGUGUGACAGAGCGAACCAGAGUGUUUCUCAUAUAGAGAGACUUUUGCCAACUGUAAAAAAGCUGGCGAAUAAGGACUGGGUAAGACUGGUGCCAGCCGCCGCGGUAAUCCCAGCGGUCCAAGUCGUAGCCACAAUUAUUGGGUCUAAAACAUCCGUAGCUUGUUUCAUAAGUCCCUUGUGAAAUUCCAUGUCUUAAACAUGGAACGUGCGAGAGAUACUGUGAAGCUAGAGACCGGAGGAUGUGAAGAGUACAAUCAAGGUAGCGGUUAAAUGUGUUGAUCUUGGUUGGACUAACAAUAGCGAAGGCACUUCACAAUUACGGUUCUGACAGUGAGGGAUGAAAGCUAGGGGCGCGAAACGGAUUAGAUACCCCUGUAGUC